UGGGGAAUAUUGGACAAUGGGGGGAACCCUGAUCCAGCCAUGCCGCGUGUGUGAAGAAGGCCUUAUGGUUGUAAAGCACUUUAAGCGAGGAGGAGGGUACUGGUAUUAAUACUACCAGGUACUGGACGUUACUCGCAGAAUAAGCACCGGCUAACUCUGUGCCAGCAGCCGCGGUAAUACAGAGGGUGCGAGCGUUAAUCGGAUUUACUGGGCGUAAAGCGUGCGUAGGCGGCUAAUUGAGUCGGAUGUGAAAUCCCCGAGCUUAACUUGGGAAUUGCAUUCGAUACUGGUUAGCUAGAGUGUGGGAGAGGAUGGUAGAAUUCCAGGUGUAGCGGUGAAAUGCGUAGAGAUCUGGAGGAAUACCGAUGGCGAAGGCAGCCAUCUGGCCUAACACUGACGCUGAGGUACGAAAGCAUGGGGAGCAAACGGG
Molecule: ribosomal RNA, 430 nt
Filed under: Pseudomonadota bacterium
Lineage: Bacteria; Pseudomonadati; Pseudomonadota
Description: Proteobacteria bacterium partial 16S ribosomal RNA
Rfam family: Bacterial small subunit ribosomal RNA
Source: RNAcentral